AGAGUUUGAUCCUGGCUCAGAUUGAACGCUGGCGGAAUGCUUUACACAUGCAAGUCGAGCGGCAGCGCGGGGCAACCUGGCGGCGAGCGGCGAACGGGUGAGUAAUGCAUCGGAACAUGUCCAUGUCGUGGGGGAUAGCCCGGCGAAAGCCGGAUUAAUACCGCAUACGACCUACGGGUGAAAGCGGGGGAUCGCAAGACCUCGCGCUAUUGAAGCGGCCGAUGGCAGAUUAGCUUGUUGGUGGGGUAAAGGCCCACCAAGGCGACGAUCUGUAGCUGGUCUGAGAGGACGACCAGCCACACUGGGACUGAGACACGGCCCAGACUCCUACGGGAGGCAGCAGUGGGGAAUUUUGGACAAUGGGCGCAAGCCUGAUCCAGCCAUGCCGCGUGCGGGAAGAAGGCCUUCGGGUUGUAAACCGCUUUUGUCAGGGAAGAAACGCACCGGUCUAAUACAUCGGUGUAAUGACGGUACCUGAAGAAUAAGCACCGGCUAACUACGUGCCAGCAGCCGCGGUAAUACGUAGGGUGCGAGCGUUAAUCGGAAUUACUGGGCGUAAAGCGUGCGCAGGCGGUUUUGUAAGCCAGAUGUGAAAUCCCCGGGCUUAACCUGGGAAUGGCAUUUGGGACUGCAAGGCUGGAGUGCGGCAGAGGAGACUGGAAUUCCUGGUGUAGCAGUGAAAUGCGUAGAUAUCAGGAGGAACACCGAUGGCGAAGGCAGGUCUCUGGGCUGACACUGACGCUCAUGCACGAAAGCGUGGGGAGCAAACAGGAUUA
RNAcentral lists this ribosomal RNA (776 nucleotides) under uncultured bacterium. RNAcentral describes it as "bacterial SSU rRNA". It matches the Rfam family "Bacterial small subunit ribosomal RNA", at positions 8 to 780 of the family's 1533-position model. The record is from RNAcentral.